GGAUAAGUGGCGGAAUCGGUAGACGCUGAAUGCUCUGUUUAUAGUAGGUUUCUCCAUGCAAAGGGGGAGAAUAAAACUAAUCCAUCCCUUGAUUGCCAAAUGAGCAAUAAGACAUCCUACAUUUCUCGGUUCGAGUCCGGGCUUAUCCA
This 149-nucleotide transfer RNA is filed under the name Bacteroides thetaiotaomicron. RNAcentral's name for it is "tRNA-OTHER". RNAcentral also lists the same sequence under 2 other names. Lineage: Bacteria; Pseudomonadati; Bacteroidota; Bacteroidia; Bacteroidales; Bacteroidaceae. The record is from RNAcentral.